UAGGGUUGUUGAGAAGAUUAAAUCAGUCAAUAUAUGUAAUGCCUUUAGAACACUGCUCUGCAAAUAGCAAGCACUAUGUACAUGCUAUUUUAUUAGUGGCAUCGGAAAACUGAUUCGGAUCAACAACUUCAUUUUGAAGCUAGCUCUGCAUGACAGCAUUGAAUACAAAUAUCACUGAUGAUGAUGAAUGGAUUGAGGAAUGCGGAAUGCAUUGUACUAAAAGGGUCCAGAAAUUGCCACAAGUCUCUUUUUGAGUCUCAGAGAAGCAAGGCCAUCAUGUAUAAGCCAGGGUUGCUGAGCAUUGGAGGUGACCCAGUAUUAGAGUAUAUGAUUCUUCAUUUGCUACAAGAGAACACCUCAUCUGGGUCACCAACAGCUUUCUGACGAAUGCUGAGGAAAUUGUGUGCAACUAAUUCCUACAACGAGAAUCCCGUACCCACUGUGAUGGGUGAUCUGUUUGCUCAAGACAGAGGAGCCCAUUAAGCAAGCAUCACGUAUGACCUGUUACCGGGGUUUAGACACCAUCUGCAGCCUGGCUUGCUGCCCAUUGCACGUUGUGGCCGUGAAUCAACAUUGUGACAGAGAGGGCACUGGGUCAGCUACAUUCCAUUAAUGGAUCAAAGUGUUUCAUUUAGAUUCCUACAGCAAAGGAGAAGGAAUAUGGAUGAUAUGUAGCCUGGGAUGGACAAAAGCUUAGUUGGCAGAAACAGACAUAUAGAAUUUUUUAAUGUAAAUCUGACAAAGCCAAAGUCCCUGAUGAAUUUACACAACAUGGUUGCCAUAAUUAAGUCUUCCAACCAAUUGGUUCUCAAUAUUUUUCUCACCACUAUUCAAGGAGGCCACAGGUGCUAUUAGGGGCUAUCAGGACUUUUAAAAUCCCCAUCAGGUGAUUCUGUUGGUACUUACCAUCUCAGUAGAGCAGCUCAUUUUACUCUAUAGGCCAAAAACUUUACCAUAAUAAUU
RNAcentral lists this long non-coding RNA (963 nucleotides) under Homo sapiens (human). RNAcentral describes it as "HSALNT0057517". Lineage: Eukaryota; Metazoa; Chordata; Mammalia; Primates; Hominidae. The record is from RNAcentral.